GGAGCCUGAGAAACGGCUACCACAUCCAAGGAAGGCAGCAGGCGCGCAAAUUACCCAAUCCCAAUACGGGGAGGUAGUGACAAGAAAUAACAAUACAGAACUCUUAGAGUUUUGUAAUUGGAAUGAGUACAAUUUAAAUCCCUUAACGAGAACCAAUUGGAGGGCAAGUCUGGUGCCAGCAGCCGCGGUAAUUCCAGCUCCAAUAGCGUAUANNNAAGUUGUUGCAGUUAAAAAGCUCGUAGUUGAAUUUCGGGGUUAGUAGGUUGGUCAUGCCUCUGGUAUGUACUGGUCUCACUGAUUCCUCCUUCCUUAUGAAUCGUAAUGCCAUUAAUUUGGUGUUGCGGGGAAUUUGGACUGUUACUUUGAAAAAAUUAGAGUGUUUAAAGCAAGCUAACGCUUGAAUACAUUAGCAUGGAAUAAUGAAAUAGGACGUUCGAUCUUAUUUUGUUGGUUUCUAGGAUUGACGUAAUGAUUAAUAGGGAUAGUUGGGGGCAUUAGUAUUCAAUUGUCAGAGGUGAAAUUCUUGGAUUUAUUGAAGACUAACUACUGCGAAAGCAUUUGCCGAGGAUGUUUUCAUUAAUCAAGAACGAAAGUUAGGGGAUCGAAGNNNAUCAGAUACCGCCGUAGUCUUAACCAUAAACUAUGCCGACUAGGGAUCGGAUGAUGUUAAUUUUUUAAUGACUCNUUCGGCGCCUUACG
RNAcentral lists this ribosomal RNA (699 nucleotides) under uncultured fungus. RNAcentral describes it as "SSU rRNA". It matches the Rfam family "Eukaryotic small subunit ribosomal RNA", at positions 391 to 1092 of the family's 1831-position model. Lineage: Eukaryota; Fungi. The record is from RNAcentral.